CAAAGAUGAAUUGCCGAUGAGGAUGGUUGCCGAUGAAGGAGAGGUCGGAUGUGACUAAGUCUGUAGGCAGUAAUGUGUUUAUGUCGAUGGCUAUAAUGGGGAAGUCUGCCGAUGACCAUGGCCAGAAAUCUGCCGAUGACCAUGGCAAGGAGUCUGCCGAUGAUAUGGAGGAGGAGUCCGGAAACCACUGAUCGGUUUAAUGGAAGAAUUUUAGUUCGUCACGGAGGAUAGCUUUGUUAUUUCCUUAUUUAUUUAAGUCGUUUUGUAUACGGAUUCCGUGUAAUUUGGAAUUCGAAUUCUAGUCGUGUUUAG
RNAcentral lists this long non-coding RNA (312 nucleotides) under Sorghum bicolor (sorghum). RNAcentral's name for it is "long non-coding RNA (SBIC_LNC014730)". Lineage: Eukaryota; Viridiplantae; Streptophyta; Magnoliopsida; Poales; Poaceae. The record is from RNAcentral.